Molecule: ribosomal RNA, 499 nt
Filed under: uncultured Sphingobacteriales bacterium
Lineage: Bacteria; Pseudomonadati; Bacteroidota; Sphingobacteriia; Sphingobacteriales
Description: bacterial SSU rRNA
Rfam family: Bacterial small subunit ribosomal RNA
Source: RNAcentral
CGCCAGCCCGCUCAAGAAACUCAAAGGAAUUGACGGGGGCCCGCACAAGCGGUGGAGCAUGUGGUUUAAUUCGAUGAUACGCGAGGAACCUUACCUGGGCUCAAAUGUAUGUUGACGUAUUCUGAAAGGGAUACUUCUUCGGACAAUAUACAAGGUGCUGCAUGGUUGUCGUCAGCUCGUGCCGUGAGGUGUCGGGUUAAGUCCCAUAACGAGCGCAACCCCUAUCAUUAGUUGCCAUCAGGUCAAGCUGGGGACUCUAAUGAAACUGCCUACGCAAGUAGUGAGGAAGGUGGGGAUGACGUCAAAUCAGCACGGCCCUUACGUCCAGGGCUACACACGUGCUACAAUGGCCGGUACAAAGGGCAGCUACCUGGUGACAGGAUGCUAAUCUCAAAAGCCGGUCUCAGUUCGGAUUGGAGGCUGCAACUCGCCUCCAUGAAGUCGGAAUCGCUAGUAACCGCAGAUCAGCUACGUUGCGGUGAAUACGUUCCCGGGCCUU